Molecule: ribosomal RNA, 254 nt
Filed under: uncultured bacterium
Lineage: Bacteria
Description: partial 16S ribosomal RNA
Rfam family: Bacterial small subunit ribosomal RNA
Source: RNAcentral
UACGUAGGGGGCGAGCGUUGUCCGGAUUUAUUGGGCGUAAAGAGCUCGUAGGCGGCUUCGAAAGUCGAGUGUGAAAACCCCGGGCUCAACCCGGGGACGCCACUCGAUACUUCGAUGGCUAGAGUCUGGUAGGGGACUACGGAAUUCCCGGUGUAGCGGUGAAAUGCGCAGAUAUCGGGAGGAACACCAGUGGCGAAGGCGGUAGUCUGGGCCAGCACUGACGCUGAGGAGCGAAAGCGUGGGGAGCAAACAGG